RNAcentral lists this ribosomal RNA (466 nucleotides) under Cordylus minor. RNAcentral's name for it is "partial 12S small subunit ribosomal RNA". It matches the Rfam family "Bacterial small subunit ribosomal RNA", at positions 794 to 1525 of the family's 1533-position model. Lineage: Eukaryota; Metazoa; Chordata; Lepidosauria; Squamata; Cordylidae. The record is from RNAcentral.
GCUCAGCCCUAAACUUAGAUAGCAAAAUACUACCUAUCCGCCAGAGAACUACAAGCAAAAUACUUAAAACUCAAAGGACUUGGCGGCAUUCCAUAUCAACCUAGAGGAGCCCGUCCAAUAAUCGAUAAUACACGCUCAACCCAACCAUUUUUGGCCACUCCAGCCUAUAUACCGCCGUCGUCAGCUAACCUUGUGAAAGAAAAGUAGUAAGCACAACAGCCCUCACUAAAACGUCAGGUCAAGGUGUAGCUAAUAAAAUGGGUGUGAUAGGCUACAUUUUCUAUUAUAGAAAAGACGGAAAAUACAAUGAAACCUUGUAAUAGAAGGUGAAUUUAGAAGUAAACUAAGAAAGGAUUCUUACUUUAACAUCGCCCUGGAAUGCGCACACACCGCCCGUCACCCUCCUCAAUAACCAGAUGAGGCAAGUCGUAACAUGGUAAGCGUACUGGAAAGUGCGCUUGGAUUA